UUCUUACUUUGCUAAGUAACGGGUCGAGGUCCAUAUUCAUGUUUCCAUCUUUUCACCUUAAACCAUAUAAGAUUUGGGGCGAUACUCAUUAUAGUAUUGAAACUUUCUUGACGUUUAAGUUCUAUUUUCCAUCUCCAUCAAUUACCUUUUCUAUCCUACCUUGUUUCUAUUCUAAACCGAACCUACCAACACCAAACCA
RNAcentral lists this long non-coding RNA (199 nucleotides) under Gossypium barbadense (sea-island cotton). RNAcentral's name for it is "long non-coding RNA (GBAR_LNC013547)". Lineage: Eukaryota; Viridiplantae; Streptophyta; Magnoliopsida; Malvales; Malvaceae. The record is from RNAcentral.